RNAcentral lists this transfer RNA (55 nucleotides) under Notropis lutipinnis (yellowfin shiner). Its description in RNAcentral is "tRNA-Phe". The record is from RNAcentral. Lineage: Eukaryota; Metazoa; Chordata; Actinopteri; Cypriniformes; Leuciscidae.
UAGCUUAAUACAAAGCAUGACACUGAAGAUGUUAAAAUGGGCCCUGAAAAGCUCC